CCUACGGGCGGCAGCAGUGGGGAAUAUUGCGCAAUGGGCGAAAGCCUGACGCAGCGACGCCGCGUGAGGGAUGAAGGUCUUCGGAUCGUAAACCUCUGUCAGCAGGGCAGAACGGUCACUGUGCUAAUCAGCAGUGACUUGACGGUACCUGCAAAGGAAGCACCGGCUAACUCCGUGCCAGCAGCCGCGGUAAUCCGGAGGGUGCGAGCGUUAAUCGGAAUUACUGGGCGUAAAGCGCUCGUAGGCGGUAUGUCAAGUCAAGGGUGAAAUCCCCGCGCUCAACGUGGGAACUGCCUUUGAAACUGGCAAACUGGAGUGUGUGAGAGGAUAGUGGAAUUCCAGGUGUAGGAGUGAAAUCCGUAGAUAUCUGGAGGAACAUCAGUGGCGAAGGCGACUAUCUGGCACAUAACUGACGCUGAGGAGCGAAAGCGUGGGUAGCAAACAGGAUUAGAUACCCCAGUAGUC
This 465-nucleotide ribosomal RNA is filed under the name uncultured bacterium. Its description in RNAcentral is "partial 16S ribosomal RNA". It matches the Rfam family "Bacterial small subunit ribosomal RNA", at positions 338 to 795 of the family's 1533-position model. The record is from RNAcentral.